Molecule: unclassified non-coding RNA, 586 nt
Filed under: Hevea brasiliensis (rubber tree)
Lineage: Eukaryota; Viridiplantae; Streptophyta; Magnoliopsida; Malpighiales; Euphorbiaceae
Source: RNAcentral
AAAAAAUGUUUUUCAAGGCCAACAAAUGCAUGCUACUAUGGGUGCAGCCCCACAUCCACCAGCAAUGCGCCCUAGGGUACGUGCAAGACGAGGACAGGCGACUGAUCCACAUAGCAUUGCAGAGCGGUUACGAAGAGAAAGGAUUGCAGAGAGAAUUAGGGCUUUGCAGGAGCUUGUUCCGAGUGUCAAUAAGACGGAUAGAGCUGCAAUGCUCGAUGAAAUAGUGGACUACGUAAAGUUCCUACGUCUCCAAGUGAAGGUUCUGAGCAUGAGUAGAUUGGGUGGAGCUGGUGCUGUGGCACCACUUGUAACGGAUAUUCCACUAUCAUCAGUUGAGGAAGAAGGAAGUGAAGGUGGUAGGAACCAACCGGCAUGGGAGAAGUGGUCGAACGAUGGUACAGAGAGACAAGUUGCUAAACUCAUGGAAGAAAAUGUGGGAGCCGCAAUGCAAUUCCUUCAAUCAAAGGCACUCUGCAUCAUGCCCAUCUCGUUGGCUUCAGCGAUUUAUCACACGCAACCACCUGAUAGCUCGAGCGUUGUGAAGCCAGAGAGUAACCCUCCUCCAUAGAAUCACCUCGCAGUGUCA